ACAACAGAUUUUCAGGUACUUUACCUCAAGAUUUUGGUUUAAGUUCAGAUUUGGAUGAGUUUGAUGUCUCUGGCAAUAAUCUUGAAGGUUCUUUGCCGCCCAACUUAUGUUCCAGAAAGAAACUUAGGAUUUUGAACCUGUUUGACAAUAGGUUCAGUGGGUCAAUCCCUGAGUCCUAUGGGGAGUGUAAUUCACUUACAUAUGUGCGUGUCUAUAAUUAUAAACUUAGGAUUUUGAACCUGUUCGAUAAUAGGUUCAGUGGUUCAAUCCCUGAAUCCUAUGGGGAGUGUAAUUCACUAACGUACGUGCGUAUCUAUAACAACCAAUUCUCUGGUGAAUUACCAACUGGUUUCUGGAGUUUCGUUGGAUACACAUUUCU
This 379-nucleotide long non-coding RNA is filed under the name Nicotiana benthamiana. RNAcentral describes it as "long non-coding RNA (NBEN_LNC026761)". Lineage: Eukaryota; Viridiplantae; Streptophyta; Magnoliopsida; Solanales; Solanaceae. The record is from RNAcentral.